UACGGGGGGGGCAAGCGUUGUUCGGAAUUACUGGGCGUAAAGGGCGCGUAGGCGGUCUGCUAAGUUGGAUGUGAAAACUCUGGGCUUAACCCAGAGCCUGCAUUCAAAACUGACAGGCUAGAGUUCUGGAGGGGGAAGCGGAAUUCCUGGUGUAGCGGUGAAAUGCGUAGAUAUCAGGAGGAACACCGGUGGCGAAGGCGGCUUCCUGGACCGGCAUUGACGCUGAGGAGCGAAAGCCAGGGGAGCAAACGGG
This 253-nucleotide ribosomal RNA is filed under the name uncultured bacterium. RNAcentral's name for it is "partial 16S ribosomal RNA". It matches the Rfam family "Bacterial small subunit ribosomal RNA", at positions 524 to 776 of the family's 1533-position model. The record is from RNAcentral.